GGGAUAUAGCUCAGUGGGUAGAGUGCUUGCUUAGCAUGCACAAGGCCCUGGGUUCAAUCCCCGGUCCCA
This 69-nucleotide transfer RNA is filed under the name Marmota monax (woodchuck). RNAcentral describes it as "tRNA.Ala". It matches the Rfam family "tRNA". Rfam says of the family: Transfer RNA (tRNA) molecules are approximately 80 nucleotides in length. Their secondary structure includes four short double-helical elements and three loops (D, anti-codon, and T loops). The record is from RNAcentral. Lineage: Eukaryota; Metazoa; Chordata; Mammalia; Rodentia; Sciuridae.